RNAcentral lists this ribosomal RNA (231 nucleotides) under uncultured bacterium. RNAcentral describes it as "partial 16S ribosomal RNA". It matches the Rfam family "Bacterial small subunit ribosomal RNA", at positions 100 to 334 of the family's 1533-position model. The record is from RNAcentral.
CGGGACGGGUGAGUAAUGUCUGGGAAACUGCCUGAUGGAGGGGGGUAACUACUGGAAACGGUAGCUAAUACCGCAUAACGUCGCAGACCAAAGAGGGGGACCUUCGGGCCUCUUGCCAUCGGAUGUGCCCAGAUGGGAUUAGCUAGUAGGUGGGGUAACGGCUCACCUAGGCGACGAUCCCUAGCUGGUCUGAGAGGAUGACCAGCCACACUGGAACUGAGACACGGUCAG